This 73-nucleotide transfer RNA is filed under the name Protohalopteris sp. RNAcentral describes it as "tRNA-Gly". It matches the Rfam family "tRNA". From Rfam's summary of the family: Transfer RNA (tRNA) molecules are approximately 80 nucleotides in length. Lineage: Eukaryota; Phaeophyceae; Sphacelariales; Stypocaulaceae. The record is from RNAcentral.
GCGGAAGUAACUCAAUUGGUAGAGUGUUAGCUUGCCAAGCUUGAAGUUGAGGGUUCAAUUCCCUUUUUUCGCU